CUUUGUUUCCAUAAACAUGAAUUCUAAAUCUUAUUUCAAAUAAAAACCCUAGAUCUAAUUUUGUAUUUCACCUUGCCGAUUCAUCUCUCAAUGAAUCCUCUGGGUCAUUUGUUUCAUCUAUUGCUUCUUCAUCUCUGUAAUUUUCCAUCAUGUAUCCGUAGUAUUUCUUGAAUCUGACUCUCUUCCACGGAGUGGCCGCAUUCAGUUUCAUCGGCUCAUAUCAAGAACGAUUCUCACCUCGAGGGACUUAUUUAGUGCUCCGAUCUGGGUUUUUAUUGUGAAUAGGUUUUGUUGAUGAGGAUGUUAGAUAGUCAAAGCCAUGGGAUUUCAAUCCUUUCUGAUCAAUGGUGUUUUUCAGAAAAUCCUAAAUCUCAAAUCUGAUGUGUAAGCCGAGUUGAUUGGUGACGAUGUGUAAGCCGUAGAUUGGUGGCGAUAGAAAUGAGAUACCAGCAGGCAAUGACGAUUAAGGUAAGUAUAUCGACCCCUGUAGAUAGCCUCCAGAUUACCCACUUGAUAUAGGUAUGUCGAUUUCUUCAUCUCAAAGGUGUGUUUUUCAUAUAAUUAUCUCUCUUCGUUUUAACUUUCUUUCAUCGAUUUGAUGUUAAAUAUGCAUUUGUUUUCGGUUAGGGUUUUUAGAAUCCUCUAAUAGAUUUGAUGUUGAAUGUUCAUUUGUAAGGUAUGCAUUUGUUUUAACUUUGAUGCAUUCGUUUUAACUUUCAAAUGAUGUUCUUUGUUGUAGUUGAAACCAAGUUAGAGUGCAUUUGCAGACAACCUAGAAGAGGCUGCAAAUUCUUAUAUGACUAUAUUAGAAAAAGCUAAAAGGGUUGUUCCACAAGAUAUGCACAAAAUACACCUGUUAAAGUUGGAGUUAGUGAUUUGUAUGGCUAAUAAGUAAUAAUACUUUUGUAUUUUGCUUGAGCUAUAUAAUUAUACAUCUAAACUACACAUCUAUGUGUAGGCAACUGCAGGUCUGAGACAAUUGGGAUGCAUCUAAAAGAAUUUUGCUGUUGUUGCCAUUCUUUAAAAAAAAUUAAGGCAUUUAAGUGUAGUUUUAAAGAAAGUUGGUAAUCUAAAGAUGGAUUUGUUGUUGUUGCCAUUCUUUAAAAAAAAAAACAACUCAGUUUUGAUCUGAAACCUGGUCCGACUGUAACCCGUUCUUACCCAAAACGAAAUAACCCCUUUUUUUAGUUAACCCAUACCCGUUUUGACCCGAACCAAAAUAAACCCUGUAUUUCUUGAUAAAGUUCAUAACUGUAUAAUGAUCUUGGGGAGGCAGCCUUAAUAAUACAUCUUGGGCAACUUUUGACCCUAAUAAAAAUAACGAUCUUGGGGAGGCAGCCUUAUUUACAUGAUUUUUUUUUUUUUGGUUUAAGCUAUUAUUUUUCCUUAAGGAUUUUCCUUGAGGAAGAUGAUAUGUAGAACCUGGAUUACCAUUUUUUCAAAUCUCAUUCAAGUUAUUGAAAUUCUGUUAGAUGAUUACAAUUAGGUUAUUUGGAAUUUGAUGAUUGGAUUAAUUAGUGAUAAGAGGGUUUGGUGGAGUUUCGCUAUUCUACCAUCCAAGAUGUAACCAAAGAAGAUAUGAGGAAAACAUUAAAUAAACAAUACGGGGGCGACAAGGGGCGAUUUAGUAUAUGAUAUAAGUGACUUAUAUUAUUAGUUUUAUCUAAUUUCUCAGAAUUUGGUGGAAAUUCGGGUGCGCCUAACCAGACCUUGCUGAUGUUUUGCAGCAGUGGCUUUCUUUUGAGCUUCACAUCUGAGUUACCUUUUAGCUCAUUGACCCAGAUACAUGAUUACGUUGGCGUCAUUUGUUAACGGAGAUGAACUGGCAACAAUUAAGCUAACCACGGGUCUCUAAAUAGCUUUUCUCUGCUCUUUUAUCUCUGUUAGAGCAGAUUAUGGACGAAACUCUACCAUUUUAUUAAAGAAAUCCUACCGGGUGACUUUCUUUGCUGUUUAGGAAGGUCGCCGCCGAUGAAUUUUCCACCCACUGGAUCAAAUGUGAACCUGUGUUCAGUAUUUUAGGUGAGAAUGUUUAUGUAAACCUGGUGUGCAUCUUCCUAAUGCAUGGACAAGCCUUCAAACAUGAGGGAAAUUACGAAAAUGUCGGGUUGACCAAACCACUUUUCAAAUUUGUCACUCUCAGGCGUCGAUGGAGAGGGCGCUCCCGAGUCUGAUGCGUCCGCAUAUGGGAUGUCGCCACGUGUCCAAAUGAAAGGAGUGGUCAGCGGCUUGUGGCUUGGCUGACUCUUUAGAGUGGUUUGGCUGACUCUUCGGAGUGGUUCGGCUGACCUCUCCCAUUAACUGUCUUGCGAAAAUAAUCCAUCAUUAAAAACCGUUUUUUUUUAACGAAAUUACCUUCUCUUGCGUAUUUAUAAGCUGAAACGGUAAUUAAUUUUUUUUUUUUAAAUUAAUAACAUGAGUGGUCAGCCGAGCCACUUGGAGUGGUCAGCCGACCCCCCAAAACCAGCCAAGAUAGUUAAUGGGAGAGGUUAGCUGAACCACUCCGAAGAGUCAGCCAUAAAACUACAGCAGAUCCGAAGAGUCACUCUUGGACCAUGGGGUGGUCAGAUGGGAUACAAAUGGAUUUAUAUGCAACGAGGCUCUAUUUUAAAGAUAAAGAUAAGGGUUUAUCACGAAUCUGCUGUUAACACCAUCGAAUUUCAUAACCAAUGCAGAGAAGGUGAAGGUCGGAAAUAUGUUUUUGGUACUCCGGGUAUCAAGUCAUCAGACUUUAUUUGCACUGACGGUACUAAUGAAUAUUUGAUUUUAAUAAGCGGGACUACUGGGAGUAGUAGUCCAUUUGGUGGCGUUGAAAAUAAAGUAGUUAAAUCUAUAUUCUUUAUGACAAAUUUGAACGUUUAUGGACCCUAUGGUAAUUAUAAUAAUGGCACUGCCUUCUCGCAUGAUGUGAAAGACGGGGUGGUUGUAGGAUUUCAUGGGUGUGCUAGCAUAAGUCAGUAUUAGUUGUGUUGUGUCACAUAUGACAUAAAUACUCCAAUAACCACGGUUGACCUAUGCACUGUAAAAACUUACCCAAAAAGUAAUUUACCCAAAAAAAAUAAUUGUUUAAUGAUUGGAAUGGGUGUUAUUGGGCAUUAUUCCCACUACGCCACUUUUGCAAUAACGCUCAAUGAUGCCCCUAUGCUGACUGGACUGCCACGUGGCAGAAAACGCCCAAGGGUGGGGGCAUUAUUGCUCAAACCACCGAACCAUGGUGAGGCGAUGCAAGCUCCUGUUAAUCAAAAUGCAUGGCUUCUACUUAUGCGCUCAGAGUGGACAUUAGGUUUUUUGAAAUUUCAUCUAUAGUGGAUAUUAGAUUUUACACCAACAAUCAACAAAUUUUAACUUAUUUUGCCCGUUCAUAUGGGUCAAAUAAGUUGAAAGUUGUGAAUGUUUUAUUCAAUUUCUUUUGAAUUGUUUUUCACCUUAUUACUGAUCUGCAGUGUCGUAAAGCCGCUCUAAAGUAUUACGAUACAUAUCUUCCUUUUCUUUAAUUUUAGGGCAAGGACAAAACAACUGAGGAAAGGAGGAUUGCCAUUUGCAUCUUCGAUGAUGUGGCAGAGUAGUGUCGUGAAGCCGCUCUAAAGUAUUACGAUACAUAUCUUCCUUUUCUUCUCGAAGCGUGUAAUGACGAGAGUCCUGAUGUUCGACAGGUCAACACGAUGAGUCGAUGACCAACCAAUAUCUUAUGUCUGAUUGUAAUUAGACACCCUAAUGCUCUUCUGCCUGAAAAUCUUAUGGCGUAUGAUAACGCUGUUUCUGCUUUGGGGAAAAUAUGUCAGUUUUAUCGGGAUAGUAUCGACUCCACUCAUAUUAUUCCUGCAUGGUUAAGCUGUUUACCAAUUAAAGGAGAUCUUAUUGAGGCUAAGGUUGUUCACGAACUACUUUGUUCGAUGGUGGAAAGGUCAGACAUGGAACUUCUGGGACCCAACAAUCAAUAUGUGCCCAAAAUAGUUUUGGUAUUUGCUGAGCACUCGCAUUGGAUCCUUCAUCUCCUUCUCCAUACUUUAAAUUAUGUAGAAGCCAUUACUAGCCAGGGUUACGGCUAGGAUUCCAAACAAGGGUCCGUUUCUCCGGCAACCGAUGUGAGCAACAACAAUGAAGGAUAUAGAGAACUUGCGAAUUGAUUAUUAUUUGAGAAGGAUGGGUUUGAGCUUGAUUUGAAUACUUAUAGUUUGUUGAUUGACGGGUUGUUUAUAUGAAAAGGUUUAAAGGUCGUGAUAUGUUUAAGAAAAUGACAGAGCCGACAUUGCGCUUGAUGGUGUGUUGUAUACGAUCAUGAUCUGAGGGUUGCCUGAUGAAGGUAGAGUGCAUGACGGAUAAGCAUUUGGUGUUGGAUACUCAAGCUUAUAAUACGUUGAUCAAAGGAAUUUGUGAUGUGGGCCUUUUGGAUGAAGCGCACUCACUAAAACUUGAGAUUUAUGGUGUUGAGGAGUUUCCGGAUGCUUGCACUUACACUAUUCUUAUAUCGGGUAUGUGUACAUAUGGGUUAGUGGGAGAUGCAGACAAAAUGGAAAAAUGUGGAUGUGUACCUUUUGUUUUGACAUUUAAUUCUCUUAUUGACAGGAUUUGUAAAUCAGGCGAGCCUCAAUAAGCUCAUCUUUUGUUUUACACAAUGGAAUUUUGAAGAAAUCUUUCUCUAUUUCAAGACUAACCCAAUGUUCAGAUAGAGUUGUUGAUAGUGCAAGCUUGCAAACAUUAGUUGUUGAAGAAAUAUUUUUUUAUUUAUUUUCUAUUUUUAUUUUUACAAAAUGGUCGUGUAGAAGAAAAAAGACAUUUAAAACUUAUAAUCUAUCAAAUUA
Helianthus annuus (common sunflower) is the source of this 4802-nucleotide RNA transcript. RefSeq lists it as uncharacterized. The transcript has 11 exons. NCBI's taxonomy places the organism in Eukaryota, Viridiplantae, Streptophyta, Magnoliopsida, Asterales, Asteraceae. The record is from RefSeq and is a predicted model, not a curated record.